GCAAGCAAGAGGGUUCGAGUUUGAUUUGAAGUCAUUCUUUUCACAAAGUAGUGUGAUGCUUGCU
Molecule: transfer RNA, 64 nt
Filed under: Acanthoparyphium sp. WAK-2018
Lineage: Eukaryota; Metazoa; Platyhelminthes; Trematoda; Plagiorchiida; Himasthlidae
Description: tRNA-Ser
Source: RNAcentral